GGGUGUGAGGGUGAUCUGGCUGUGACAUCUGUCGCUCCCCUCAUCAGCAGGUUUGAUUCAGCUGAGCUGGCUGACAAGGCAGUGUCCCUUCCUUCCUCAUGGCUCCAUGUGCAGCCCUCCUGAGGCUGGUGGGAGAGGGCAACCAACCCCAACAGAGGAGGACCAUUUCCCAGGGCAGAGUACAGGAGCAGCUGCACUCCCUUGCUAGAAUCCCCAAAUAAGCUCCCAAGAUUUCCAUUUUGUUCCUUUCCACUAAGAUAUCUAUGAGACUAUCAGUUCAAAUUAUAUCAUU
This is an unclassified non-coding RNA of Cavia porcellus (domestic guinea pig), 292 nucleotides long. Its record names the gene 7SK. It matches the Rfam family "7SK RNA". Rfam says of the family: 7SK was discovered as an abundant small nuclear RNA in the mid-70s but a possible function has only recently been suggested. Two independent studies have found that 7SK RNA binds the CDK9/cyclin T complex (known as elongation factor P-TEFb). P-TEFb activates transcription by phosphorylating the C-terminal domain of RNA polymerase II. NCBI's taxonomy places the organism in Eukaryota, Metazoa, Chordata, Mammalia, Rodentia, Caviidae. The record is from Ensembl.